UAGGGAAUCUUCCACAAUGGGCGCAAGCCUGAUGGAGCAACACCGCGUGAGUGAAGAAGGGUUUCGGCUCGUAAAGCUCUGUUGUUAAAGAAGAACACGUAUGAGAGUAACUGUUCAUACGUUGACGGUAUUUAACCAGAAAGUCACGGCUAACUACGUGCCAGCAGCCGCGGUAAUACGUAGGUGGCAAGCGUUAUCCGGAUUUAUUGGGCGUAAAGAGAGUGCAGGCGGUUUUCUAAGUCUGAUGUGAAAGCCUUCGGCUUAACCGGAGAAGUGCAUCGGAAACUGGAUAACUUGAGUGCAGAAGAGGGUAGUGGAACUCCAUGUGUAGCGGUGGAAUGCGUAGAUAUAUGGAAGAACACCAGUGGCGAAGGCGGCUACCUGGUCUGCAACUGACGCUGAGACUCGAAAGCAUGGGUAGCGAACAGGAUUAGAUACCCUGGUAGUCCAUACCGUNNCGAUGAGUGCUAGGUGUUGGAGGGUUUCCGCCCUUCAGUGCCGGAGCUAACGCAUUAAGCACUCCGCCUGGGGAGUACGACCGCAAGGUU
RNAcentral lists this ribosomal RNA (548 nucleotides) under uncultured bacterium. RNAcentral describes it as "bacterial SSU rRNA". It matches the Rfam family "Bacterial small subunit ribosomal RNA", at positions 355 to 895 of the family's 1533-position model. The record is from RNAcentral.